GGACAGUGAGGUUCCAGGCAUCGUCAGAGAGUCCCGCGGCCCUGUGUGAGGAGAUUGUGGUGCCAGAGACCACCUUUGAGGCGGAGUCAGAGGGAGGGGAGGAGGACACGGAGAGACAGAUGGAGCUAGAGGCCACAGAGGAGACCCUGUCCGUGGUCUAUGAGUUCGGCACCUAUGACAUCAUCGAACCCCUGGAGGAGGAGACGGAGACCAUUAACUCUACGGAAAUACCUAUCAGCAUUAUCCCCAAGUACAACGCCGCCCUGACCAAACUCCGAGACCAGAACACUCUCCCGGAAGCGGAGAUCGUCCAAGCCACGGAGUCCGAGGCAGAGAAA
This is a long non-coding RNA of Aplysia californica (California sea hare), 338 nucleotides long. RefSeq lists it as uncharacterized. Lineage: Eukaryota; Metazoa; Mollusca; Gastropoda; Aplysiida; Aplysiidae. The transcript has 3 exons. The record is from RefSeq and is a predicted model, not a curated record.